CCUACGGGAGGCAGCAGUAAGGAAUAUUGGACAAUGGGCGAAAGCCUGAUCCAGCCAUGCCGCGUGAAGGAUUAAGGUCCUCUGGAUUGUAAACUUCUUUUAUGUGGGACGAAAAAAGGGCAUUCUUGCUCACUUGACGGUACCAUUUGAAUAAGCACCGGCUAACUCCGUGCCAGCAGCCGCGGUAAUACGGAGGGUGCAAGCGUUAUCCGGAUUCACUGGGUUUAAAGGGUGCGUAGGCGGGUAGGUAAGUCAGUGGUGAAAUCUCGAAGCUUAACUUCGAAACUGCCAUUGAUACUAUCUAUCUUGAAUAUUGUGGAGGUUUGCGGAAUAUGUCAUGUAGCGGUGAAAUGCUUAGAUAUGACAUAGAACACCGAUUGCGAAGGCAGCAGGCUACACAUAUAUUGACGCUGAGGCACGAAAGCGUGGGGAUCAAACAGGAUUAGAUACCCUGGUAGUCCACGCCCUAAACGAUGAUUACUCGACAUACGCGAUACACUGUGUGUGUCUGAGCGAAAGCAUUAAGUAAUCCACCUGGGAAGUACGUCCGCAGGAUGAAACUCAAAUGAAUUGACGG
This 577-nucleotide ribosomal RNA is filed under the name uncultured bacterium. Its description in RNAcentral is "bacterial SSU rRNA". It matches the Rfam family "Bacterial small subunit ribosomal RNA", at positions 338 to 916 of the family's 1533-position model. The record is from RNAcentral.